GGGUAUAGUUCAAUAGUAGAGUGCAUGCCUAGCAUUCACGAGGUCCUGGGUUCAAUCCCCAGUAUGUCCU
Molecule: transfer RNA, 70 nt
Filed under: Camelus ferus (Wild Bactrian camel)
Lineage: Eukaryota; Metazoa; Chordata; Mammalia; Artiodactyla; Camelidae
Rfam family: tRNA
About the family: Transfer RNA (tRNA) molecules are approximately 80 nucleotides in length.
Source: Rfam by way of RNAcentral